UAAAUCAGUUAUCGUUUAUUUGAUAGUACCUUACUACUUGGAUAACCGUGGUAAUUCUAGAGCUAAUACAUGCUAAAAACCCCGACUUCGGGAGGGGUGUAUUUAUUAGAUAAAAAACCAAUGCCCUUCGGGGCUCUUUGGUGAUUCAUGAUAACUUAACGGAUCGCAUGGCCUUGCGCCGGCGACGGUUCAUUCAAAUUUCUGCCCUAUCAACUUUCGAUGGUAAGGUAUUGGCUUACCAUGGUUUCAACGGGUAACGGGGAAUUAGGGUUCGAUUCCGGAGAGGGAGCCUGAGAAACGGCUACCACAUCCAAGGAAGGCAGCAGGCGCGCAAAUUACCCAAUCCCGACCCGGGGAGGUAGUGACAAUAAAUACUGAUACAGGGCUCUUUUGGGUCUUGUAAUCGGAAUGAGUACAAUUUAAACCCCUUAACGAGGAACAAUUGGAGGGCAAGUCUGGUGCCAGCAGCCGCGGUAAUUCCAGCUCCAAUAGCGUAUAUUAAAGUUGUUGCAGUUAAAAAGCUCGUAGUUGAACCUUGGGCCUGGCUGGCCGGUCCGCCUCACCGCGUGUACUGGUCCGGCCGGGCCUUUCCUUCUGGAGAGCCGCAUGCCCUUCACUGGGUGUGUCGGGGAACCAGGACUUUUACUUUGAAAAAAUUAGAGUGUUCAAAGCAGGCCUUUGCUCGAAUACGUUAGCAUGGAAUAAUAGAAUAGGACGUGCGGUCCUAUUUUGUUGGUUUCUAGGACCGCCGUAAUGAUUAAUAGGGAUAGUCGGGGGCAUCAGUAUUCAAUUGUCAGAGGUGAAAUUCUUGGAUUUAUUGAAGACUAACUACUGCGAAAGCAUUUGCCAAGGAUGUUUUCAUUAAUCAGUGAACGAAAGUUAGGGGAUCGAAGACGAUCAGAUACCGUCGUAGUCUUAACCGUAAACUAUGCCGACUAGGGAUCGGGCGAUGUUUCUAUCUUGACUCGCUCGGCAC
RNAcentral lists this ribosomal RNA (976 nucleotides) under Lophiostoma hysterioides. Its description in RNAcentral is "SSU rRNA". It matches the Rfam family "Eukaryotic small subunit ribosomal RNA", at positions 102 to 1086 of the family's 1831-position model. The record is from RNAcentral. Lineage: Eukaryota; Fungi; Ascomycota; Dothideomycetes; Pleosporales; Lophiostomataceae.